Molecule: ribosomal RNA, 233 nt
Filed under: uncultured bacterium
Lineage: Bacteria
Description: partial 16S ribosomal RNA
Rfam family: Bacterial small subunit ribosomal RNA
Source: RNAcentral
UGAGUAACCUGCCCUUAACUCUGGGAUAAGCCUGGGAAACUGGGUCUGAUACCGGAUAUGACUCUUCAUCGCAUGGUGGGGGGUGGAAAGCUUUAUUGUGGUUCUGGAUGGACUCGCGGCCUAUCAGCUUGUUGGUGAGGUAAUGGCUCACCAAGGCGACGACGGGUAGCCGGCCUGAGAGGGCGACCGGCCACACUGGGACUGAGACACGGCCCAGGCUCCUACGGGAGNAG